GACGAACGCUGGCGGCGUGCUUAACACAUGCAAGUCGAACGGAAAGGCCCUGCUUUUGUGGUGUGCUCGAGUGGCGAACGGGUGAGUAACACGUGAGUAACCUGCCCUUGACUUUGGUAUAACUUCAGGAAACUGGGGCUACUACCGGAUAGGAGCUCCUGCUGCAUGGUGGGGGUUGGAACGUUUCGGCGGUUGGGGAUGGACUCGCGGCUUAUCAGCUUGUUGGUGGGGUAGUGGCUUACCAAGGCUUUGACGGGUAGCCGGCCUGAGAGGGUGACCGGCCACAUGGGGACUAAGAGACGGCCCAGACGCCUACGGGAGGCAGCAGGGGGGAAUAUUGCACAAUGGGAGGAAGCCUGAUGCAGAAACGCCGCGUGCGGGAUGACGGCCUUCGGGUUGUAAAACGCUUUAGCCUGUGACGAAGCGUGAGUGACGGUAAUGGGUAAAGAAGCACCGGCUAACUACGUG
RNAcentral lists this ribosomal RNA (468 nucleotides) under uncultured bacterium. RNAcentral describes it as "partial 16S ribosomal RNA". It matches the Rfam family "Bacterial small subunit ribosomal RNA", at positions 28 to 507 of the family's 1533-position model. The record is from RNAcentral.